Long non-coding RNA from Nymphaea colorata (pocket water lily), 1295 nucleotides. RefSeq lists it as uncharacterized. Lineage: Eukaryota; Viridiplantae; Streptophyta; Magnoliopsida; Nymphaeales; Nymphaeaceae. The record is from RefSeq and is a predicted model, not a curated record. The transcript is spliced from 2 exons.
CCUUCCCUCAUUUCUUUCACUUGUCUCCUCUCCAGUCGACGGCAACCCUCGACAGCAACCCUUCCUCCCUCGCAUUCGAGCCUUCUCACCAUCGCCGCUCUCACGAUCCAGGCUCCGCUUUGCCCUCCAACACUCCCAUCUGCCCUCCUUCCCAUUUAAAGCCCAUCUUCCCCUCUGCCCUCCAACUCUCCCAUCUGCCCUCCUUCCCAUUUAAAGCCCAUCUUCCCCUCUGCCCUCCAACGUUUGUGCCUUGUCUCCCGGCCGAGCUAACUUUAAUCUCAUGCCUUUUCUGUUAAUUUCUUGUAUUUUUGGAAUUUUGAUUCGUGUUGUUUUUUGUUUUGGCAUUUUUCUAUACAACAACAGGGAGCAAUAACGGUAAUGCUUAUAUUCCUAUCUGUUUCCAUUGAUCACUUGUUCGGUAAAUUUGAAUGGGCUGAAGUCAUCUACUCAAUUGUUUAUCCAUGAUUCGACUCUCUCUUCCUGUGAAAACCAGAUUCAGCCGCUACCCACAUAUAAUUUGACAAAAUCGACAGAUCUGCUAUUGAUACUGAUUCAGCUUUCUGUUUUAAAUUUUAAAUUCAAAGAAAGGCGAGGUAAAUAUUUUGGCUUUUACUUCUACUGGAGAGGUUCCUAUUCGGUACUUCCAAUGAUUGUUAUUCUGUAUAUUCAGAAUUGCUAUUAAACAUUAGUGUGACAAGGUUCUGGCUUCGAUUUUUCAGGUUGAGGAUACUUACUACUUUUGGAUUUUUCCUCUGGUUGUUACUGACAUGAAUUUGGAAUAAAUCUUGCUGGUGGUUUAAGUAUAUGGUCUGUGGCUGCUGAUGGAUUUUUCCUCUCGUUGUUACUGACAUGAAUUUGUAAGAACUAUGAAAUAAUCUUCUUCUGUGGCAUUUAAAUCUUUCCUAUCAUCAGAGGUUGCAGAACCAGCUCCCCCCUGCUCUAGAGAAAGAUUCAAGAGUUUCUACUAACAGAGAUGCUGUUCUUGCAAAGGUUGAAAGUGAGAAGAAACUGUCCCUGAUCAAAGCAUGGGAAGAGAAUGAAAAGGCAAAAGCUGAGAACAAGUAUGGUGCUGUCCUUUCAAAUAGUUGAACACUUGAUGUAUCUUUCGGGCAGUGUCAAUGAAUUACUAAACAGCAGAUGCCAUGUGAACGGCUAGAAAGUGUUUUAAGUGCAUAAGAAGAGUCGACAAGAUUUGAGAUGCCGUGUAACUAAAAUUUGUUUUGCCUUUAUGUGGUUCAUGAAUUUUAUGAUUGUGAAAGAUCAAUGAUCUAUUCUUGAAGUUUCAAUUGCUUUUA